Molecule: non-coding RNA, 100 nt
Organism: Xylariomycetidae sp. FL2044
Lineage: Eukaryota; Fungi; Ascomycota; Sordariomycetes
Source: the annotation of a GenBank genome assembly
UCCGCUGUGGUGUAAUGGCUAACAUCUGUCGCUCUCAUGAGAGAAGAUUCAUUUCUCAGAAAGAUCCGACAAGCUCGGGGUUCGAUUCCCCGCAGCGGAG